CUGGGACACCUUGACUCCAAGCCCAGCAGUAAGUCUCACAUGCCACAGGGCCUCUCAGCCAUCUCUGCUGAGAAGGGACCCUUACUGGCAGCUAGGAUCCUUGAGACCAUCGUCAAGGGCAACCUGGCUAAGGUAAGGUUGGCCUGGGACCUCUUAACUGGGAAAGCAGCAGCUGUGAAGUUCAUUGAUGAGACUCAGCAGAUCUCCUCCAGACACCAUCCACAAAGUAGGAACCAUGAAGGCUCGGAUCACCCCAACAUAGUGAAACAUUUGCUGUGAUCGAUAUUGAGGAAUCUCUUUGCUUUGUCAUGAAGCACACUAGCCAGGAGGAGAAGUUUGUGAAUACCUGCUCAUGGCAGCAGGAAAGAAAAAAAAAGGACUGAAGCAAAUUCUACCAAAAGUGUCUGCUGUGCAAGCUGUCACCAGAAACGUAUUGUCCACAGAGAUUUAAAGGCAGAAAACACGCUCUUGGAUGUUAACACAAACAUCAAGAUUGCAAAUUCUGGCUUCAGCAACAAAUUCAGCUUUUACAAACUGGAUACCUUCUGUGGCAGUCACCUCUGGUCAGCAGAUCCCUGCUUUUGAUGGACAGAAUUUCAAGGAGCUGCAGGAGGGGAACUGAGUAGAAUAUAUUCCCUUCUACAUGUCCAUUGAGUAUAAAAACCUGCUCAAAAAAUGUAUCCUUCUCAAUCCCAGCAAGAGAGGCCCUUCAGAGCACAUUGUGAUGGAUCCAUGAAUGAUUAGGAAGCAUGAACAGGAACUUAAGCCCCGGACCUCCGCCAUACUGAAUCAUGGCGUCCAUGGGUUACGGACAGGAAAGAUCCAGGACUCCCUGUGAAGUGUGAUGAAGCAGCGAUCGCCUACCUGCUUCUGGGUUCUAAGAGAUCCGAACUGUAAGGUUACCCCAUCACCUAAAACCCCCACUGUCAGCUGAUCUGACCCACAGUGGUGCGCCUUCCCUAUACCAGGGUCUCUGCCAGCCCCGAGCAGCAGCGUUUCAGCAACCUGCCUUUCCCAUCUUUCACGGCCUCUCUAAGAAGACUCAGAGGAGCCACAAAGAUCCUAAGCGGGAUCAAGAGACAGAGCAGAAAGGCAGCACUGCGCCCGCCAGCCCCGUACUCGCCUGGAGGGGACGAACCCCGCCCCCUCUGUGAAUAGCGACCUCUUACCAAAACCAAAAAAGAGCAGGAAUUCCUCACUCGGGGCAAAAGCCAGUUUGGCCAGACCUCCACGCAGAACGACAACAGCAGCCCCACAGCGCUGGGCCUGGGGCCUCCUGGGUUCCUGCCUCUCACCCCCCGCCUUCGUCUCCCCGGCCACCAGCCCGGGAAUCCCAGUCGGUCUCCUUGCAGCCCAACCAGGUCUCGGUGUCGUACCCCACGGAGAGCAGCUGGGGGGUGCCCGCCAGGUACAGCUCCCCAGAGUGCCCCUGAUACCUCCCUUCCACCCGCGUCAUCAGCGCAGGGGGCAGAGCAGAGCCCCCGAUGGGACAAGGUACGCGCGGCCUGGCAGCCCGACAGGUGACGGCCCCGGAAAUGCGGCCCAACCGGGUGACCCCAGCCUCUCCCUCAAACAAAGGCCGCAGACAGCAGGGGGCCGCCGGGAGCUUCUUCAGCAAGUUCAGGUUCAAGUUCACAAGCUGGACUCUUAGCUGCGGGUUUGCCCAAAGGAACCUGAAAGAACCUGAAAGCAAAGACGGGGGAGGACACUCCGACCUCACAUG
This 1723-nucleotide long non-coding RNA is filed under the name Homo sapiens (human). Its description in RNAcentral is "non-protein coding lnc-PANK1-6:1". Lineage: Eukaryota; Metazoa; Chordata; Mammalia; Primates; Hominidae. The record is from RNAcentral.